This 582-nucleotide ribosomal RNA is filed under the name Clostridioides difficile. Its description in RNAcentral is "partial 23S ribosomal RNA". It matches the Rfam family "Bacterial large subunit ribosomal RNA", at positions 1897 to 2477 of the family's 2925-position model. Lineage: Bacteria; Bacillati; Bacillota; Clostridia; Peptostreptococcales; Peptostreptococcaceae. The record is from RNAcentral.
AAUCGAAGCAGUGAACUUAAGCCCCAGUAAACGGCGGCCGUAACUAUAACGGUCCUAAGGUAGCGAAAUUCCUUGUCGGGUAAGUUCCGACCCGCACGAAAGGCGUAACGAUUUGGGCACUGUCUCAACAACAGACUCGGUGAAAUUGUAAUUCCGGUGAAGAUGCCGGAUACCUGCGACAGGACGGAAAGACCCCAUGGAGCUUUACUGUAGCUUGACAUUGGGUCUUGGUACUACAUGUACAGGAUAGGUGGGAGGCUUUGAAACCAGGACGCCAGUUUUGGCGGAGCCAUCCUUGGGAUACCACCCUUGUAGUACUGGGACUCUAACCAUAGGCCAUGAAUCUGGUCUUGGGACACUGUCAGGUGGGCAGUUUGACUGGGGCGGUCGCCUCCCAAAAGGUAACGGAGGCGCUCAAAGGUUCUCUCAGUACGGUCGGAAAUCGUACGUAGAGUGUAAAGGCAAAAGAGAGCUUGAUUGCAAGACAUACAGGUCGAGCAAGGAUGAAAAUCGGACUUAGUGAUCCGGUGGUUCUGCGUGGAAGGGCCAUCGCUCAACGGAUAAAAGCUACCCUGGGGAUAA